This is a long non-coding RNA of Carassius carassius (crucian carp), 1088 nucleotides long. RefSeq lists it as uncharacterized. The record is from RefSeq and is a predicted model, not a curated record. Lineage: Eukaryota; Metazoa; Chordata; Actinopteri; Cypriniformes; Cyprinidae. The transcript has 2 exons.
AUAAAAGGUUAAUUAACAAUUGCAUCACUCCCUGUGCACCAGUCACGUGAUUGCGUGUGUUCAGGGACAAAACAGUGUUGUUUACCAGUAUAAAUCUGCCAGAUUUAUACCAGAAGUGGAAAGGAACCAGAAAAUGUGCCUCAAGAAAAAAAAAAGAAAAUCCCUUAUAUACAUUGAUUUUAUACUUUUGAUAUGACACUGUACUUGUGUUUGUUCACACUUAAUGUGAAAUGAAAAAAGCUUACUAAGAAUUAAAAAAUGCCCCUUUUGUACAAGUAGUAGAAGCAAUAAAGUAUUAAUAUAUUUAUUGAUGUUCUUGUUUGGUUAUUCAUGAUCCACUAAUAAGGUCAGGAAAUUGUAAUUUAAUAAGAAUUUCAUUAAAUCUUCAUGAGGUGCAUCCUGGGAUGCUUUUUAAAAGAGUAUUGACAGUGUUCAUGUGUGCGGACUAGAUAUAGUUAUUAUAUGCAUAAUUUCAUAUAAUAAGAAGAAUAAAAAUCUCUAAAAUAUUAAAUGACUGAAUCAAAUCAUAAAAGUUUGAAUAAUCCUUACAUUGAUACCUUAAUUAUUAGCUAAUAAUGGUACAAUAUAUAGUUAGUUAAUAUAUUAAUAACCUUAUCUAUAAUAAUAAUAAUGAUAUCUUAAAUAUUAAAUGUUUGAUACAUAGACCUAAAUAAUUUAUUAACAAUAUUAUAAUUUUUUUUGUAAAGAAUUAGCACAGUUUUAAAACAUUUCAUAUUUAAAGUGUAAUUUUUAAGACCUUGCAACACAAGAAAUGAACCAGCUUUUUUGUGUGUGUAAACGACUAGCUACUCUAGAAACUGAACAAGUGUUUCUUUAUUCUUGAUAAAUGAUUUUGUUACAUAUUGCAAUGGAUUUUCGCUCAUUUCACUCCCUAAUAAUGAGCUGAAUUUUGUCAAGUGUGUCAAUAUUGUUCCUUUUCAGACCACUGCCCUACUUUUUCAGUAAUCCUUCAUUAUCCCAUCCAAUUUGUCCUCGUAAUGUACCAUCAUGCCCUGCCAAAAUGUUAUUCAAUGAGAUUCCAGGAGCUGUAAAUGUCAUAAUGUCAUUAAAACCCAUAAUGACUCACA